AGGGUGAACCUGCGGAGGGAUCAUUACAAGAACGCCCGGGCUUCGGCCUGGUUAUUCAUAACCCUUUGUUGUCCGACUCUGUUGCCUCCGGGGCGACCCUGCCUUCGGGCGGGGGCUCCGGGUGGACACUUCAAACUCUUGCGUAACUUUGCAGUCUGAGUAAACUUAAUUAAUAAAUUAAAACUUUUAACAACGGAUCUCUUGGUUCUGGCAUCGAUGAAGAACGCAGCGAAAUGCGAUAAGUAAUGUGAAUUGCAGAAUUCAGUGAAUCAUCGAAUCUUUGAACGCACAUUGCGCCCCCUGGUAUUCCGGGGGGCAUGCCUGUUCGAGCGUCAUUUCACCACUCAAGCCUCGCUUGGUAUUGGGCAACGCGGUCCGCCGCGUGCCUCAAAUCGUCCGGCUGGGUCUUCUGUCCCCUAAGCGUUGUGGAAACUAUUCGCUAAAGGGUGUUCGGGAGGCUACGCCGUAAAACAACCCCAUUUCUAAGGUUGACCUCGGAUCAGGUAGGGAUACCCGCUGAACUUAAGCAUAUCAAU
RNAcentral lists this ribosomal RNA (536 nucleotides) under fungal endophyte. RNAcentral describes it as "eukaryotic LSU rRNA". The stretch from base 182 to 335 matches the Rfam family "5.8S ribosomal RNA". The record is from RNAcentral. Lineage: Eukaryota; Fungi.